AACGAACGCUGGCGGCAUGCCUAACACAUGCAAGUCGAACGAGACCUUCGGGUCUAGUGGCGCACGGGUGCGUAACGCGUGGGAACCUGCCCUUAGGUUCGGAAUAACUCCCCGAAAGGGGUGCUAAUACCGGAUAAUGUCUUCGGACCAAAGAUUUAUCGCCUUUGGAUGGGCCCGCGUUGGAUUAGCUAGUUGGUAGGGUAAAAGCCUACCAAGGCGACGAUCCAUAGCUAGUCUGAGAGGAUGAUCAGCCACACUGGGACUGAGACACGGCCCAGACUCCUACGGGAGGCAGCAGUGGGGAAUAUUGGACAAUGGGCGAAAGCCUGAUCCAGCAAUGCCGCGUGAGUGAUGAAGGCCUUAGGGUUGUAGAGCUCUUUUACCCGGGAUGAUAAUGACAGUACCGGGAGAAUAAGCUCCGGCUAACUCCGUG
RNAcentral lists this ribosomal RNA (433 nucleotides) under uncultured bacterium. Its description in RNAcentral is "partial 16S ribosomal RNA". It matches the Rfam family "Bacterial small subunit ribosomal RNA", at positions 29 to 507 of the family's 1533-position model. The record is from RNAcentral.